AGUUUGAUCCUGGCUCAGAUUGAACGCUGGCGGCAUGCCUAACACAUGCAAGUCGAACGGCAGCAUGAGAGAGCUUGCUCUCUUGAUGGCGAGUGGCGGACGGGUGAGUAAUGCAUCGGGACCUACCCAGACGUGGGGGAUAACCUCGGGAAACCGGGACUAAUACCGCAUACGUCCUACGGGAGAAAGCGGGGGACCUUCGGGCCUCGCGCGGUUGGACGGACCGAUGUGCGAUUAGCUAGUUGGUAAGGUAAUGGCUUACCAAGGCGACGAUCGCUAGCUGGUCUGAGAGGAUGAUCAGCCACACUGGGACUGAGACACGGCCCAGACUCCUACGGGAGGCAGCAGUAGGGAAUCUUCCACAAUGGACGAAAGUCUGAUGGAGCAACGCCGCGUGAGCGAAGAAGGUUUUCGGAUCGUAAAGCUCUGUUGCGAGGGAAGAACAAGUACGGGAGUAACUGCCCGUACCUUGACGGUACCUCAUUAGAAAAGCCACGGCUAACUACGUGCCAGCAGCCGCGGUAAUACGUAGGUGGCAAGCGUUGUCCGGAAUUAUUGGGCGUAAAGCGCGCGCAGGCGGCCUUUUAAGUCUGAUGUGAAAGCCCCCGGCUCAACCGGGGAAGGUCAUUGGAAACUGAGAGGCUUGAGUACAGAAGAGGAAAGCGGAAUUCCACGUGUAGCGGUGAAAUGCGUAGAGAUGUGGAGGAACACCAGUGGCGAAGGCGGCUUUCUGGUCUGUAACUGACGCUGAGGCGCGAAAGCGUGGGGGAGCAAACAGGAUUAGAUACCCUGGUAGUCCACGCCGUAAACGAUGAGUGCUAAGUGUUAGGGGGUUUCCGCCCCUUAGUGCUGCAGCAAACGCAUUAAGCACUCCGCCUGGGGAGUACGGCCGCAAGACUGAAACUCAAAGGAAUUGACGGGGACCCGCACAAGCGGUGGAGCAUGUGGUUUAAUUUGAAGCUACGCGAAGAACCUUACCAGGUCUUGACAUCCCGCUGCCCGGUGUAGAGAUACGCCUUUCCCUUCGGGGACAGCGGUGACAGGUGGUGCAUGGUUGUCGUCAGCUCGUGUCGUGAGAUGUUGGGUUAAGUCCCGUAACGAGCGCAACCCUUGACCUUAGUUGCCAGCAUUUAGUGGGGCACUCUAAGGUGACUGCCGGUGAUAAACCGGAGGAAGGUGGGGAUGACGUCAAAUCAUCAUGCCCCUUAUGACCUGGGCUACACACGUGCUACAAUGGACGGUACAGAGGGUUGCCAACCCGCGAGGGGGAGCUAAUCCCAUAAAACCGUUCCCAGUUCGGAUUGUAGGCUGCAACUCGCCUACAUGAAGCAGGAAUCGCUAGUAAUCGUGGAUCAGCAUGCCACGGUGAAUACGUUCCCGGGUCUUGUACACACCGCCCGUC
RNAcentral lists this ribosomal RNA (1402 nucleotides) under uncultured Sporosarcina sp. RNAcentral's name for it is "partial 16S ribosomal RNA". It matches the Rfam family "Bacterial small subunit ribosomal RNA". Lineage: Bacteria; Bacillati; Bacillota; Bacilli; Caryophanales; Caryophanaceae. The record is from RNAcentral.